Molecule: ribosomal RNA, 253 nt
Filed under: uncultured bacterium
Lineage: Bacteria
Description: partial 16S ribosomal RNA
Rfam family: Bacterial small subunit ribosomal RNA
Source: RNAcentral
UACGAGAGGCCCAAACGUUAUUCGGAUUUACUGGGCUUAAAGAGUUCGUAGGCGGCUUGGAAAGUGGGGUGUGAAAGCCCUCGGCUUAACCGAGGAAUUGCGCUCCAAACUACCGAGCUUGAGGAAGCUAGAGGUGAGCAGAACUGAUGGUGGAGCGGUGAAAUGCGUUGAUAUCAUCAGGAAUACCGGAGGCGAAGGCGGCUCACUGGGACUUUUCUGACGCUGAGGAACGAAAGCUAGGGGAGCAAACGGG